UGGCUCAGUUGGUAGAGCAUGGUACUCGCAACACUAGGGUUGUUGGUUCAAAUCCCAC
This 58-nucleotide transfer RNA is filed under the name Salmo salar (Atlantic salmon). It matches the Rfam family "tRNA", at positions 8 to 63 of the family's 71-position model. From Rfam's summary of the family: Transfer RNA (tRNA) molecules are approximately 80 nucleotides in length. Their secondary structure includes four short double-helical elements and three loops (D, anti-codon, and T loops). Further hydrogen bonds mediate the characteristic L-shaped molecular structure. tRNAs have two regions of fundamental functional importance: the anti-codon, which is responsible for specific mRNA codon recognition, and the 3' end, to which the tRNAs corresponding amino acid is attached (by aminoacyl-tRNA synthetases). tRNAs cope with the degeneracy of the genetic code in two manners: having more than one tRNA (with a specific anti-codon) for a particular amino acid; and 'wobble' base-pairing, i.e. permitting non-standard base-pairing at the 3rd anti-codon position. The record is from Rfam by way of RNAcentral. Lineage: Eukaryota; Metazoa; Chordata; Actinopteri; Salmoniformes; Salmonidae. RNAcentral also lists the same sequence under 1 other name.